CCUACGGGAGGCAGCAGUAGGGAAUUUUCGGCAAUGGGGGGAACCCUGACCGAGCAACGCCGCGUGAACGAAGAAGUUAUUCGUAAUGUAAAGUUCUUUUAACAGGGAAGAAAGAGAGAUUUGACGAUACCUGCAGAAUAAGCUCCGGCUAACUACGUGCCAGCAGCCGCGGUAAUACGUAGGGAGCGAGCGUUAUCCGGAAUUAUUGGGCGUAAAGGGUGCGUAGAUGGCAUAGUAAGUCUUUUGGAAAAAUGGUGGGCUCAACCCAGUAGGGCAAAAGAUACUGCAAAGCUAGAGUAUGACAGAGGCAAGUGGAACUACAUGUGUAGCGGUAAAAUGCGUAAAUAUAUGUAAGAACACCAGUGGCGAAGGCGGCUUGCUGGGUUGAUACUGACAUUGAGGCACGAAAGCGUGGGGAGCAAACAGGAUUAGAUACCCUUGUAGUC
RNAcentral lists this ribosomal RNA (446 nucleotides) under uncultured bacterium. RNAcentral's name for it is "partial 16S ribosomal RNA". It matches the Rfam family "Bacterial small subunit ribosomal RNA", at positions 338 to 795 of the family's 1533-position model. The record is from RNAcentral.